GUAGGUGAGACAACAAUAGGUCACAGUGCUCCAUGCAUCCAGUGUGUUUCACGCCUGCAAUUGGUUUACAUAUAAGAAAGGUUUUUGUGUGUCAAUGAGGAUGCUAUCUAACAAGAAUUUUAAUUCUAAGAUUUUCUCUCCUUUGCGAUGAAAAUUUUUAUUCUCCUUUUGACAUACACCAGACCCACCUAAGAAGACCUGCCUGCCAAGAGACAAAAUGGCACAUGAGGAAAUACAUCUUACAGACAAGAGAGACUCUGGAAUCUGAAACAGUAAACACAGUUACUGAGCUCCACAGAUCAGGUGGUGCUCUGGAAAAUUUAUCUCGACUAUGGAGGAGACCAGGUUAUUCUACCAUUAAGAUGAAGAAACUGUCAAAAAGGGAUGGGGUGUGGACAACAAUUUUAAAAGGACUGAAUACAUAGUGAGUCAAAUCCUUAUUUGUAAGUGCUAAGCAUGCAAAAGCUCUUUCCCUUCGAUGGGCCAGUCUUUCAGUUUCACAUUUUUUAAACAUAUUUCAAGUUCUUUCCAUUGUAUUGAGGGAGAACCUUGUCAACUUUGAUAAGUUCUUGUCAACAUACAAACCAAAUAAAAUCCUUAACCAUCCCUAUGUGUCAACGGGUGCCUCAAAUUCCAGUGCCUUUUGGCUUUCUUCCUUUCAGAGAAAAAGAAUGAUGUAUGGCAGUGGUUCUCAACCUGUGGGUCCCCAAGUGUUUUGGCCUACAACUUCCAGAAAUCCCAGGCAAUUUACCAGCUGUUAGGAGUUCUGGGAGUUGAAGGCCAAAACAUCUGGGGACCCGCAGGUUGAGAACCACGACGCAUGGCUUCCUCAUUUCACUUAUCAUCAUAGCCCUAUUAAACUGAGUAAUAGUGACCCAUUUCAUAUAGUACAGUGGUUUCCAACCUUUUUUGACCAGAGCCCACUUGACCAGGAACCACUUUGACCAGGGACCGCUCUGUAUCAAAAGGGUUACGAAUCAGUUUUUGGUCAACUUUAGAUUCGGUUUAGUUAUUUGGGGUGCUGAUUCAGAAAACUGCAUUGGAUAGACACAUCAGCUCUAGUUUCUGAUAAAGAACAUAUGCCAUCCAGUAGUCACCAUCAGAAAACCAUAUUUAAUAAUCUAAAGCUGAUGUGGCCUAUCCAAUGCCAUUGUCAGGUUUGCAGAAGGGAGUGGAAAUAAAUUAAUAAAAUAAAUAAAUAAAUAAAGAGGAAGGAGGUUCGCGGACCGGAUUUUUGUUCUUGUGAACCACUGCUGGGCUGCAGCCCAAAGAUUAAGAACUAUUGACACAAUGCAAUCAUAGCACCAUGUUUCUUAUUACUAUAAUUUAAUCCUGAGGUAUGUAUUUUGAUGAGGCAAUAGAGCUUUCUGUUUGAGCAUUCUAAAUACUUCUUCUAAACGAUAAAUCCCAAGAUUCCUUCCAAACUGCCCUUAUAUCCCAGAAUCUGAUGCCAGAUUAUCUGUUUAUCCCACUUUAAAGCAGAUAAUCUGGGAUCGGAACCUGGAAUAUAGGGGCAGUGUGGAAGGGGCCUCAGUCAGCCUUCCAUAUCCCCAGAUUCCACCAUUAAUGGCUUGAAAAUAUAUAUUUUAAAUCCUAUAGACAAACCUUGAUUUUACAAUUUUAUAUAAGGGACACCAUUAUAUUGUGUAGUUGUAUAUAAUGAAACUUGAGCAUCCACAGAUUUUGGUAUUCACUGGGAAACCUGGAACAAAACCCCAGUGGAUGCCAUGGGCCCAUUGUAAUUGUGUAGUGUAAAAGGGCCGGUGUCUGAUCAGAGGUCUGUGAGAGAACAUCAUGGAUAAGCAAUUCUUUUUGACCUUGGUUCCAAACAUUACAAUUGUAUCUGCUCUCCAAUACUGUCUCUAGAAAU
Anolis carolinensis (green anole) is the source of this 1870-nucleotide long non-coding RNA. The record is from Ensembl. Lineage: Eukaryota; Metazoa; Chordata; Lepidosauria; Squamata; Anolidae.